AGAGAUGCUUUGGUGCCUUCGGGAACUCUGAGACAGGUGCUGCAUGGCUGUCGUCAGCUCGUGUUGUGAAAUGUUGGGUUAAGUCCCGCAACGAGCGCAACCCUUAUCCUUUGUUGCCAGCGGCUCGGCCGGGAACUCAAAGGAGACUGCCGGUGAUAAACCGGAGGAAGGUGGGGAUGACGUCAAGUCAUCAUGGCCCUUACGGCCAGGGCUACACACGUGCUACAAUGGCGCAUACAAAGAGAAGCGACCUCGCGAGAGCAAGCGGACCUCACAAAGUGCGUCGUAGUCCGGAUUGGAGUCUGCAACUCGACUCCAUGAAGUCGGAAUCGCUAGUAAUCGUAGAUCAGAAUGCUACGGUGAAUACGUUCCCGGGCCUUGUACACACCGCCCGUCACACCAUGGGAGUGGGUUGCAAAAGAAGUAGGUAGCUUAACCUUCGGGAGGGCGCUUACCACUUUGUGAUUCAUGACUGGGGUGAAGUCGUAACAAGGUAGGCGUAGCGAG
This 507-nucleotide ribosomal RNA is filed under the name uncultured bacterium. RNAcentral's name for it is "bacterial SSU rRNA". It matches the Rfam family "Bacterial small subunit ribosomal RNA", at positions 1002 to 1509 of the family's 1533-position model. The record is from RNAcentral.